GUAGAGAGAGCACAUUUACUUCCCAGUAGUGGUUGUGGAGUGCACUGUGUCACUCAACAGCAUCCCUUUGGCUGGGGAAGGAACAGUGGUGCCAAGCUCCAAAUAAAGGAAAACAAAGACAUGAGGAAAGGAAAUCUAAUGCUUGACCACAUGUCUGGCCCUAAAUUGGAUGAUCAGCAAUGUGAAGACCUCUCUACUCCAGUCUCUUCCCUGGUGACUGCCAACAAAUCCAGCAGUGGGGAUGACUCUGCCUCAGCAGCCCUGGAGAAUUCAAGGGCACAACUGCAAGGUAAAUUCCAAAAAGCCUGUGGACUGAAAGUGCUCAGCUGAUCUGCAGAGGUCAUAUCCGUGCCACAGAACAUCUGGGAGCUGUGAGAAGAUGCAGUGUGGUUGAUGAAGAUGAUGUCCAGCUGUCAAAAAAACCUGUAGUAAAAAUAAUUCCAUGUAUUUUGUUUUUCCCAUGACUGGCUUGUUCUAGCUAGAACUUUUUUUAAAGGCAAAAUAGGCCAAACCCUAAACCAACACCUCCACAGCCUGAGACAGACAUUUUCUAGGAAAAUGUGCCACUCCUGCUUCAGCAGAGCUAUUCAGUGCCCAAUAGCAGCAUUUCACAUGGGGGCCCUAACUACAGGUGGUGCUCCCGUUCCCGCCUAGGGAUGCGGCAAGUGCACAGUGGCAAGCUUAGUAUUGUUACUGGAGAGCUGUACCUUGGAUUGUUUGGGGUUGCUCUAGUCUUCGGCCACAGCUCAUGAUUUCUAGUUGUCUCUUUCAGAAUAUUACAGGGAUGUAAGUACUUCAUCUUGUUAUUUUUCUCUUCCCAAAUGUAAUAUUCUCAAUACAAAUGUAAUAUUCUUUACAAAUAAGUGAAAUACAGGGUACAGGGAAUGGAUCCAAUGAUACACGAAGAUGAAUGCACCCUUUCUCAUUACUGUUUUGUGUUAGGUGCUGUGUGAAAACCCCAGGGAUGGUCACAAAAGACUUGAUUCUAAGUGGAGUGGGCAAAGGGCAGCAAAGAAAACAUAGAGGGAGAUAAGCGAGACAUAAAAAUAAUGAAACAACCAGGUAGAUACACUGGGAGUGCAGUAUUCAUGGCCUUAUGCCCAGGCAAGCGCUUAGAAACAAAAGACAUGUCCAGAUCUGAAGAGCUUUUUUCCUCUCUAAAACCCUGAAGUAGGAACAAAGUAAGCAUUAGGAUUGCACUGUGUAUAGUGACUGCUGAAACCUUCUCUGUUUCUGUGGCUCAUGAUACUCAAGUAAACCUGUUUCUGCCCUCAAGAGAUGAACCCAUUAGCAACUGAUAAUAGUGGGAGAAAUGUGUGUAGCUUUGCUCCACACUUGCCUGUUGUUGCCCUACUCCUUGAGUUCACUCCCUUGCUCCCACGCUCUUGCUGUGAUGUAUAAUUUCUACUGCUUUCAGGAUGUCUCUCCCAGAAGCUGCGCCUGUGUCUCGCGGAAGGAUUUAAGUUUCAGAAAUACCCGUUACCUCCAGUGUAAACUCCUUUAAGCACAUCCCAUCUGAUGAGGUAGUUUCUUAAAAUAGUAAUGAGAAGCAAGAAAUGCCUCUUAUGUGGCUUUUGAAAAGUUAUCUCAAGGUAUUUAAGGCACACAUGGGUUUUUGAAAGAUACGAAGAUUCUGAUAGGAGCUGGUUUUGCUUCACUUUCCCUGUUGUAUCCUGUGAAUAUUACAGAACAAUGGUAUUCCCUGAGGGAAGUACUCUGAAACCUGGACCAAAAACAUAAUGAAAAAUUCAGCAGUUGGCAUACCACUUUAAAAUAAAGAAGAAUAUUUCCUUCAUCUCUUCCGAAAUCAGUUUCCUGGGCACAUGGCACGGUGUUGUUACACUAUGUAUGCUAAUUCUAGUUAAGAAGGGGAUGAAGACAGAAAUAACUUUUGGGGAGCGAAGCCUCCCCUGUACAGCUGUCGAUGUGUCUGGUAACAGUUUGACUAGAGGCGGCCCCAGUGGAUCUUUUCCUCUCUGCUUGCCUUGAAGGUGAUGUUCGGACUGUAAGGUUGCGGCAAGGUCCCACGCUUGUUUGGAAAGGAAGACUUGCUACUGGUAUUUUACACUGCCAUGUCUUAUGGUUUGGGUUUUAUUGUUGUUGUUAUGGGGCUUGCGGGAUUUUCUUCACGUUGCACGUUUACCUUGUCUUUAUGCAUCUCUUCCUCCUAUACAAAUAUCCCACUUGUUUUGAUGGGAAAGAAUGUGGUAGAAGUACCUGCAGGCAUUGUAGAAUAGUGUCUGAACAGCUAAAUCCAAGAGUUAUACCAGUUCCUCUUUCUUUUAGUCUGCUGUAAGACUGAGCACUGUCAAUAGCUGCAAAGUAUCAGCUAUUGCCCUAGUCAAAGACGUACCUUCUCUCGCAUCAAAAUCACCAAAUGAUUUUCGGUCUAUAAGAUGUUACCGUAUCAGCACUGUUAUCCAACAAAGUUACAGAUACAAAAAAAGUGUGCUUACUGUUUAAAACACUACCGAUGUUAGUGUGGGCAGACUACCUCUACAGGUGAAUGCUUUCCAGCCAUUUUGAUCCCAGUGCAGUGAAGCAGGAAAAAUAAACUAGAUAGACUUCAUAAACUGUGAUUAAGCACGGUGCAAAAGCCUUGGGGGAAUAAGUCUCUACACCACAGUUAUACAAACAAAUUUGGCUCAUGCUAGUAGGAAAAAAGAAAGACUGGACUAAUGGAAAAAUACAUGAUGUUUUUUCUUAAAAUUAAUUUACAUGAGUGGCUUUGUUGGCCGAGCACAUGUUCAUGUGGAUGUAGGGCGUAUUAUUCCAACUCUUUCUGUAGCAUAACCACAGUGACUGCAGCACACGGUGCUAGUGCGAACAAAGUCUCGUUAACAGCCCAUGAACAAAAGCAUUUUCCUAGAAUACGCUUUCUCAUUGUUACUGUCGACCGGUUCCUGGCCUACCAAGGGAUAAGGCUAGGUAGGUACGGACAGCUUUGUAAGUAUAGAGUGAGAGUAGUAAUCGAAGUGUGCUAGAAGUGUAUCAUAUAAUUAAAAAGAGUGCGUGGGACAGAGUUAAUUUUGUGACCCUUUUUUCUUGAUUACUGAUGAACUGGAAGGCAGUGUCUUAUAUAGUAGAUUACAGGUUGUUAAAUACCACCCAUUCUACUUCUAUCUAUGUUCUCCAUCCUUUUUGUUCUCUUAAAGCCAGCACUCUGAGAGGCUGUCACACUGAGCUGGCUUCCUCCACUAAGCAGGACUCGCUGCAUUUUUCCUUAACCUCCAUUAGCAUCCUAUUUUUGUCAGAUCCAACAUAAAUACUGCUCUCUUGAUGGACUCAGCUGAAUUUAUCUUUCUGAUCUUAUAGACAUUUAUCUUCUUAGCUAUUAAGCUACUCAACCUUUAUUUUCUUUCUGUCCCAUUCUCUCGUGUUAUCAAUUCAUCUACUGGGAGCUUUCUCCUAGAACAAAAGCACUUUUCUUAAUACUACUGUACAACUUUUUAUUUUCCUCUUGACAUUCUCCGGGAAGGGUUUUUGGAUCUACAUGAGCAAAAAAUUCAUACAAAUUCCAUAUACACUUCUACGAAAUGCUGAGACUACACUUCACUGGAAUUUGAAGAACAUCUUGAUCUUUUGGCAAAAAGAAAAUUACUGUAAAGGCUUGACAGUCACAUGGAUGGAUGUGAACAAAGUUCACCGCGGGUAACUCUGGCCCUGUUUCUGCACCUUCCCCGCACGGGAGCGGGGGAAGCCGGGAAGCAGCGCAUCGCCCGGGAUGGGGGCGACUGCGAGCCUUGGCUCAGGUACCCGCUCCCCUUCGUACCGAGUCGGUAUCCUCCUGACAUCGACUUCAAACUCAAGGGCUUAUCUUGGCCCCUUCGCGGGUCAGGCCGCCCGGGAGCUGACG
This is a long non-coding RNA of Falco peregrinus (peregrine falcon), 3856 nucleotides long. RefSeq lists it as uncharacterized. The record is from RefSeq and is a predicted model, not a curated record. Lineage: Eukaryota; Metazoa; Chordata; Aves; Falconiformes; Falconidae. The transcript is spliced from 3 exons.